AGAGAAAGAGAUCGUUGGGU
This 20-nucleotide microRNA is filed under the name Sus scrofa (pig). RNAcentral's name for it is "ssc-miR-9787-3p". Lineage: Eukaryota; Metazoa; Chordata; Mammalia; Artiodactyla; Suidae. The record is from miRBase by way of RNAcentral.